Long non-coding RNA from Sapajus apella (tufted capuchin), 212 nucleotides. RefSeq lists it as uncharacterized. NCBI's taxonomy places the organism in Eukaryota, Metazoa, Chordata, Mammalia, Primates, Cebidae. The record is from RefSeq and is a predicted model, not a curated record. The transcript is spliced from 3 exons.
CAUCUAGUAUUUCUCAGAUAAUUUAAUAUUUGCUGUGAAUAUGAAUAUAUAUACUAAUCUGAGUAUAACUAUGUUCCCUCCCUCCCUUUCCUUCUUUUACAAAAAUCAGGACUUUGGAAAAGUUUCUGAAGUGUUUACUUAAGAGGUUUUAGGAUCAUAGGAACUGACAGAAUCAGUAUCUAAGACUCUUGCUCAGUCUUUCUAUAUCAUCC